GACAGAGGGUGCUAGCGUUGUUCGGAAUGACUGGGCGUAAAGGGCGCGUAGGCGGUUUUUCAAGUCAGAUGUGAAAGCCCCGGGCUUAACCUGGGAACUGCAUUUGAUACUGGAAGACUGGAGUACGAGAGAGGAAAGCGGAAUUCCUAGUGUAGAGGUGAAAUUCGUAGAUAUUAGGAGGAACACCAGAGGGGAAGGCGGCUUUCUGGCUCGUAACUGACGCUGAGGCGCGAAAGCGUGGGGAGCAAACAGG
RNAcentral lists this ribosomal RNA (253 nucleotides) under uncultured bacterium. Its description in RNAcentral is "partial 16S ribosomal RNA". It matches the Rfam family "Bacterial small subunit ribosomal RNA", at positions 524 to 776 of the family's 1533-position model. The record is from RNAcentral.